AUUCGUGGAUUGGCAUUGAAUAAAAUCAGGUAUUUGGUUGUUUGAAGGGCUUAGGCUGGAAGCAGGCCUAAUUAUCUCUUUUUAGAAAUUUCCAUGUCAACACACAAGGGAUGACCAGUUCACACAAAGCCUAGAAUGCAUAAACAAUCGUCAAAGGUGCACUUGGCAAAAUUGGGCCAAUGCCAAAGGCCUAGUUACAUGACUCAGUACAAUUAAUAUGAGGCAAAUUACAUUUCUUCAUGAAAAUCUUGAGAUCAAAACAAAUACUAACAGUUCUUUCAAGUUUUCAAAUAGAUAUGAAGCAUAUUUAUGCUAAAUCACAGUCUAUAAUGAGAUAUAACCUCUCAUGUUAUAAUAGCUCAAACACCAUUUGUCUUAUCAUUUAAAGCGUAACAGAAUUUGAAUUUCGAACAAAGCAAUGUGUCUCUCUAACCCCUUGAAAGAAGUAAAUUACUCAAUUGAGUCAAGAAGUGUGCCAAAAUGAAUCAAAAGAAGUGCUAAGGGGAAUAUUGAACCCAUUUGAAGAAAAUCAUGUCCUACCUUUAGCCAAAAACCUUCAGAUUGACUCCUCAAAAGCCCUAUAAGAACUUGAGUUGGGGGAAUCCUACAUUAGUGGAUACUUACAUAAGGAGCAAGCAUAUUGUACUUAGAGCCGGACUUAUGGCCUUCUCUUUAAGAGAGAUUAGUGAGAAUCCAUCCACCUCGAUUAGUGUGUGAAUACUCUAAAAGGUGAGGUUCACUUAGGGAGAGUUGAGGAUGUGUGAGUUUGGGUUCCACAAUGACCAAAUUAUUUGAGAAAGGGUUCUAAGUUUGCGAGGGCCAUGAAAAAUUUAAUUUAUGGCAUACCCCAACUUGUAUAGAGUUAAUAAUAAAUUAGGUGAGGGCCAUGAGUUUUGAGAUUUUAUUUGGCAUGGCACGCCUCAAAUCAUUUUAUUAAAAGGGUUCUAAGUUUAGUUUUGAGGGCUAUAAAUUAUAUAUUUGGCUAAUAUAGUACACCUCAAACUAAUUAAAAGAAACUAAUUAAGUAAAUACUAAGAACAUUUGAAUUUUAUGUUAAGCUAAUAUUUGAAACUAAAACUUACUAAUUCGUGGAUUGGCAUUGAAUAAAAUCAGGUAUUUGGUUGUUUGAAGGGCUUAGGCUGGAAGCAGGCCUAAUUAUCUCUUUUUAGAAAUUUCCAUGUCAACACACAAGGGAUGACCAGUUCACACAAAGCCUAGAAUGCAUAAACAAUCGUCAAAGGUGCACUUGGCAAAAUUGGGCCAAUGCCAAAGGCCUAGUUACAUGACUCAGUACAAUUAAUAUGAGGCAAAUUACAUUUCUUCAUGAAAAUCUUGAGAUCAAAACAAAUACUAACAGUUCUUUCAAGUUUUCAAAUAGAUAUGAAGCAUAUUUAUGCUAAAUCACAGUCUAUAAUGAGAUAUAACCUCUCAUGUUAUAAUAGCUCAAACACCAUUUGUCUUAUCAUUUAAAGCGUAACAGAAUUUGAAUUUCGAACAAAUAACUAACACGAUUUCAGAACAGAAAUCAUCUUCUAGCCCGGAUUAAAACUUGUCCACUUUCAUAUCUUUAAACACAGGAAUUCUUAAUGAUUUCAUGCCAAACACGUCAAAAUAUUCACUUGAAAGCUUAGACAGGAGCCUUACGAACCAUGAUUGAGCACAAUUCCAAAAUCAUAAUUCGAGUAUUAUACAAACUUAUAUCUUUAAGCCUAUGAACCCGAAUGUUACUUGGGAAUAAGGUAUUGGGGCUAACAUUAGUUGUAACUUAGAAAAACAAUGACUACCAAAUCAACUAACAUAUAUAAUGCUAACAAAAAGAAAUUAAGAUCUAAAAGGGAAAUCCAAUUUUAUUUAAACACAUUGAAUCCUCCGCUUCAUUUUGCACAUUUCAAAGCUCAAAACAUACCCGAAACAACAGAGAAAAUCAAAUGAAAAAUUCAGCAAAGAAGUUUGAGUGUCAGCAGCUCUAAAAACAACAGCAAGCAAACAUUUAUCAACCAGCUAACACCAUAUCUUGAACCCAAAAUAAGAAUCAACCAGUUACUUCAAAUUUUUUUAAAAUCCAAAAGAAAUCACAGAACAACUUCAAUAUAACAGUUCUUGGAUAACAUACUUAAGAAAUAAGGAAGCAUGACCUUUUAUAGAAACCUUUAGGGCAGCAGAAAUGAUUCAAUCUUUUGCUAGUUACCCCCUCUUUGAAUUUUUGUUCUUGCAUUUUGGACCUUAAGUUUAUGUUUUGUUUGUUAAAAUUACCCCCCUCCCCACUUCCUAGAAGCUUUUUAGGCAGUUAUAAAAGAUUUUCCUUAUCCAGACUCCCUAAAUUACCAUUUAAUUUUACUAAUUACUUUCAGCAAACCAAACCUUCAACCAAAUUUCCUAAAGGUCUUUCGGUUACUAAACUACCAGGUUAUAACGACCUUUGUGCUCCUGAACCAUUGAAACCCAAAUUAUGAUCCAAAAGACCACAUACCACAAAUAUAUAAGCUCAAAAAAAAUUCUACAAUUCCGAGCAUCAAGAGAAAAAUCUAACAAAGCAAAAAAAAGAAAAAAAAAAGUGGGACAACAGGCAAACAUGAAAUCAGAAGUACUGAAGAAAAAAGGUUAAUUAAACUAAUAUGUUGAUAAUCACUAAUAUAACCUAAACCUAAACAUGCAAUAGAGAUCAAAUCAAACUAACAAAGAAAGAAAAGGAAAUAAGAAGAAACAGACAUUAUGCGACCCAAAAUGCAUACAAAAAUGAACAGAAAAGAUAAGAGAUAAAUGGAAAGAAAAUAGAAGAAGAUGAGCAUGACAAUAAACAAAAACAAAAUUGAGGGAAAGCACUGAAAUACCUAGAAUAAACAAAUGGAAAAUGGCUUGAAUGGACUUCAUGUGCUUUUUGAUUUGUGGCAAAAAGAAGUGUUAGUCGAUUUGUUCUUGUGAUAACAAACAUCUAGCACUCAUUUUUGCCAAAAUCAUCUUCGAAGGUUAGAGAACAAUGAAAUCGGACCCUUUUAAUAAGGAAUCGGAGGCAGGAACGGGUCUAGGGUUCCAUUUAAGAUAUGAAAUUAGAGAACGAUGAAAGAGAUUUCGGGGAAAUUGAUAGUGAUUUAGUGUUUGAGGGAUUAUGGGGAGUGUGUGCUGAAUUUUUAGGAGGAUUUGGAGGUCGCCGCCGGCAGGAGAUGUUGAAGAAUUCAGAGGCGGCGUGUUAGGGUUUUGGUCUGAGACGAGAGAGGCAUAAGGAGAUAAGUUUUGUACUAGGUUUCUGAAGGUAUUUCGAAAAUUUUUAUUUAAGAUGGGGGGAGGGGAAUCUCUCGG
RNAcentral lists this long non-coding RNA (3297 nucleotides) under Nicotiana benthamiana. RNAcentral's name for it is "long non-coding RNA (NBEN_LNC031121)". The record is from RNAcentral. Lineage: Eukaryota; Viridiplantae; Streptophyta; Magnoliopsida; Solanales; Solanaceae.